Anser brachyrhynchus (Pink-footed goose) is the source of this 1556-nucleotide long non-coding RNA. Lineage: Eukaryota; Metazoa; Chordata; Aves; Anseriformes; Anatidae. The record is from Ensembl.
UUUUCUUAGUUUGUCAGCACUCUGUAUGAGAACCUGGAAGAUGGGUGAAUUUCUGAGUCUCCAUGGCCUGAUGAGUGGGUUGAGAGAAAAAAGAUGAGAAGUGAAAAAUAAGUGUGUUAUUGUCAUCAUCAUCUGCCUUUAUGCACAGAAUUAAGAGCAGAAUGCACAGGCUCCUAUGAGAGUUCCCCCUGGCUACAGUUCAUUUACAGCUGAUUUUAGAGACAGUACAAGAAGAACACUUUGAAUCAGAGCGUGUCUGCUACCUGUCUGGCUGAAACAAGAAAGUGCAUAAAUCCAGCACCUCUUGAGCCUGUAAAUGUGAUCUACUGCAGCUGACCUGGAAUAUUAUCUGCUAUUGAGAUGUGUGUUUGUACAGUCCAGAAUUUCUUCAGGAAUAACUUCUGUUACCAUCACCAAACAUUUCUGAGAGGGUGGGGUUGGAGGAAAUUUCUGUUCUUUGUUUCUGUACACACAUUCUCUUUAGCACUUUUUUCCCCAUCAGAGGGAAGCGAUAAAGUCCUGUUCCCAACACAGGUCUGCUGGGAGAACAGGGCAUGCGAUGUCAGAGGAGAGGAGAGGCCGGAGGACACGGGCUACACUUACCUUGUCUGGUACAGCACUCCUCAGGGAUUUUGAUAAAUUGCAGCAGCCUGUGGACAAGGCCAAGGCUGGGUCAAAGAACCAGUGAGAUAUAAAUGGCUUUGCUCUCUGUUGCUCUCCUGCAGAUAGCAUUUAGCCUUGAGGCUUCCCAUUCACAGAAUGGGAACUUAGAGUACUUUGGUGAUACAGUUGGUCACAUUUUUGCCUAAUCUGUAGCAGUUGUAUGUUCUGUAGCGGGUUUCCAGCUGAGAGAGGAAAGGGUGGUUGUCCUUCCUAUUCUGCCUCUUAGUGUAGAGCAUUGCAGUAUCAUGGCGUUCUUCUGAGAGUUAACUUGAGCAUUUGCAGCAUGUUUUAAAAGUGCCUCACUUCAUAGAGCAUGUCUCCUAAAGACUGUAUUUCUUGGUCCAGUGUGAUUCCAGGAAGGGUUCAUUGGUAAACCUUAAGAAGAUUUAAAAUGAAGCUUCUCCAAAGGAGCCCAUUGUUUCUGAUUAACAUGAUUUGAUGUAAGUGUUUCUCUAGCUCACUGGCAGGUCACUUGCGUAGAACAUUAAAGACUGGGGUUGCAGGCCCAACAAUAAUUGAAUUUAUUUACUAGCUUGUGUUUCUGUUUAUGAGGGUGAGCGAUGGUUUCCAUUACAAUGUGUUUGUGUAGCAAUAUAGCACACCUGCUUUUCAGAAGACAGUAUCAUAAAGUACUCACUUGGAUUGUCUUGUCUCACAUUGCAGAGGUCACUGUAUCUUGUGCUGUAUAAAUACAAACAAAAGCGCAAGAGCAGGUAAUAACUCUAGUUUAAAGAAAACAAUUAAAACUAGUAGUCAUAAAGACAUACUGUUGAAUAAGAUAACACUUGAAUUUUUGUGGAAAUUCUGAACAAUUUAAAAUGGUUGAUAUAUCUGAAACUAUAUAUGUAUAUUGAUAUAAUAAAUACAUUUCACUACUUAAAAAUAUUGAAAGC